AGGAUGAACGCUAGCGGCAGGCCUAAUACAUGCAAGUCGGACGGGAUUGAGAAGCUUGCUUUUCAUGAGAGUGGCGCACGGGUGCGUAACACGUAUGUAACCUACCUUUAUCAGGGGGAUAGCCUCUCGAAAGAGAGAUUAAGCCCGCAUAAAAUCACAGCACGGCAUUGUGCAAUGAUCAAAUAUUUAUAGGACGAAGAUGGGCAUGCGGAACAUUAGCUAGUUGGUAAGGUAACGGCUUACCAAGGCUACGAUGUUUA
This 260-nucleotide ribosomal RNA is filed under the name uncultured bacterium. Its description in RNAcentral is "partial small subunit ribosomal RNA". It matches the Rfam family "Bacterial small subunit ribosomal RNA", at positions 26 to 285 of the family's 1533-position model. The record is from RNAcentral.